RNAcentral lists this ribosomal RNA (1149 nucleotides) under Triticum aestivum (bread wheat). RNAcentral describes it as "partial small subunit ribosomal RNA". The record is from RNAcentral. Lineage: Eukaryota; Viridiplantae; Streptophyta; Magnoliopsida; Poales; Poaceae.
AUGUCUCUGCCUUGUGUUCCCAGGAAUGGACACAAUGUCACGGUCACAAGUGCCAUGUUCCCAAGUCUUGGAACACAGGAAAAGGAGGUUCUGCCUGGCUGGCUGGAGAAUCUGAGGAGGAAAUGGCAAGAGGAAGCAAGGAAGGAGGCCAUGGCAAGCAAGGUUUGUCCAUUCAUGCAGUAUAUCUACCUACCUGUAUACAGCCAUACACAUCACCAGAGGUUUUUCACUGUUGUUGCUGCACCUGAAUCUGCAAUGGGUAGGUCCCCAGGGCCAAGGAGGGGGAGUGCCCUGCUUCUGCCUCUGUUUCUCACCUGCUUCUUCUCAGGGGCAACGAGGCGGGCGGAGUCGGCCCGGGAGUUCACGCUCAUCAACCAGUGCAAGACGGAGGUGUGGCCGGCGGUGACGCCGGGCGAGAGCUUCGGGGGCGGCGGGUAUGCGCUCCGUGCAGGCGAGUCGGUGGUGUUCACCGCCCCCGUGGGGUGGUCGGGCCGCGUGUGGGGCCGCACCGGCUGCACCUUUGACUCGGCCGGCAACGGCACGUGCGAGACGGGCGGGUGCGGCACGUCGCUGCAGUGCGAAUCGGCGUCGGGGGCCGCUCCGGCGACGCUGGCGGAGUUCACGCUGGCGGCGACUGACUACUACGACGUGAGCCUGGUGGACGGCUUCAACCUCCCCGUGGUGGUGACCCCGACCCCGACGAGCGCCAACUGGACAGGCUGCGCCCCGGCGGGGUGCGACGGUGACCUGCGCCGGGGCUGCCCGUCGGAGCUGGCCGUGAAGGGCGACGGGGGGAAGGUGGUGGCUUGCCGGAGCGCGUGCGACGUGUUCGGGACCGACCAGUACUGCUGCCGUGGUCAGUAUGCCAACCCGGUGGCCUGCCAGCCGACCUUCUACUCGAAGAAGUUCAAGGCGGCAUGCCCGGCCGCCUACAGCUACGCCUACGACGACCCCUCCUCCAUCUUCACCCGCGCCCAGUCGCCCGACUACACCAUCACCUUCUGCUCCAGCAACAUGAAGCAAUCGGUGUGUUCGUACCGCGACAGCCGGCUUGUCUGCAGCGGCUCCGGCAGGAGCACCUCCUCUGGUCUAAUGCUGCUGCUGCUGCUCUCCAGCUUCGUGGCAUUGCAAUUUGCAACCCCAGUGUGA